This 253-nucleotide ribosomal RNA is filed under the name uncultured bacterium. RNAcentral's name for it is "partial 16S ribosomal RNA". It matches the Rfam family "Bacterial small subunit ribosomal RNA", at positions 524 to 776 of the family's 1533-position model. The record is from RNAcentral.
UACGUAGGGUGCAAGCGUUAAUCGGAAUUACUGGGCGUAAAGCGUGCGCAGGCGGCUUUGCAAGACAGAUGGGAAAUCCCCGGGCUUAACCUGGGAACUGCAUUUGUGACUGCAUGGCUGGAGUGCGGCAGAGGGGGAUGGAAUUCCGCGUGUAGCAGUGAAAUGCGUAGAUAUGCGGAGGAACACCGAUGGCGAAGGCAGUCCCCUGGGCCUGCACUGACGCUCAUGCACGAAAGCGUGGGGAGCAAACAGG